UACGUAGGUGGCGAGCGUUGUCCGGAUUUACUGGGCGUAAAGGGAGCGUAGGCGGACUUUUAAGUGAGAUGUGAAAUACCCGGGCUCAACUUGGGUGCUGCAUUUCAAACUGGAAGUCUAGAGUGCAGGAGAGGAGAAUGGGAUUCCUAGUGUAGCGGUGAAAUGCGUAGAGAUUAGGAAGAACACCAGUGGCGAAGGCGAUUCUCUGGACUGUAACUGACGCUGAGGCUCGAAAGCGUGGGGAGCAAACAGGAUUAGAUACCCCGUA
This 268-nucleotide ribosomal RNA is filed under the name uncultured prokaryote. RNAcentral's name for it is "partial 16S ribosomal RNA". It matches the Rfam family "Bacterial small subunit ribosomal RNA", at positions 524 to 791 of the family's 1533-position model. The record is from RNAcentral.